Molecule: ribosomal RNA, 521 nt
Filed under: uncultured haloarchaeon
Lineage: Archaea; Methanobacteriati; Methanobacteriota; Halobacteria; Halobacteriales; Halobacteriaceae
Description: bacterial SSU rRNA
Rfam family: Archaeal small subunit ribosomal RNA
Source: RNAcentral
AUUCCGGUUGAUCCUGCCGGAGGACAUUGCUAUUGGGAUUCGAUUUAGCCAUGCUAGUCGARCGAGUUAAGACUCGCGGCGAAUAGCUCAGUAACACGUGGCCAAGCUCCCCUUCAGUCAGCGAUACCCUCGGGAAACUGAGGUUAACAGCUGAUACAAAACGCAGCUGGAAUGCGGCGUUUCAGAAAGACAUCGCUGAAGGAUGCGGCUGCGGCCGAUUAGGUAGACGGUGGGGUAACGGCCCACCGUGCCAGUAAUCGGUACGGGUGAUGAGAGUCAGAGCCCGGAGACGGAAUCUGAGACAAGAUUCCGGGCCCUACGGGGCGCAGCAGGCGCGAAACCUUUACACUGCACGGAAGUGCGAUAGGGGAAUCCCAAGUGCGAGGGCAUAUUAGCCCUCGCUUUUCUCGACUGUAAGGUGGUCGACGAAUAAGAGCUGGGCAAGACCGGUGCCAGCCGCCGCGGUAAUACCGGCAGCUCAAGUGAUGUCCCAUAUUAUUGGGCCUAAAGCGUCCGUAGCU